GGAAUUUGAAUUGUGCUGUCCUCACAGAGCAGAAACAAGUCCCUCCAAAUCCUUUGUGCUUCCCCCACACUAUUUGCUUUUCUUCUCACGCAGCCAUUAACUGGUUCACAGUGGGUCCCAGGGAAAUUAUGUAGAGCAGUGAUCACCAACCUAAACUGAAGCCCAGAAGCAUCCCUCUCACCUGUUACUUGAUAGAGGCGAGCUAUAGAAAUCUCUAUCCGAAAGGCAGCCUGCGCACGGCCUCUUAUCACAGAGGCUCCUGUCUGCCCUGAGUACAGAAUUUGGACAAUCAGAAAGCUCAUCUCAGGUGACUCGGAGUCCAUCGUUUUAGAAAUUCAUUGAAAGAGGCAGAAGGAAAAAAAUACUGAGCCUUAAAAAAUGCAUUCAACUCUGUGGGGAUUUUCCUUUUAUGAUUAACUUAAUUUCCCUGGGAGAUGUUUUCCUUUGAAGUUGUGGAUGAAUUAGACUUUUCCUUCUCAGAAUGUUAACACGUAUCAUUUCUGAUGCGCUGUCUACUUUUUGUACUUAAAUGCAGUUAAUAUUGAAUAAAUAGUCUGUUUGUCCUUAUUAUUGUUUUUGUUAAUACAACUGUGACCCUUAUAGUACUUUCCGUCUGGAGCAUCAGGAUACAGGCAAUUUCUGGGACAAUGCUUUUUCUAACACAUUCUCACAGCCUUGUUUAAGAAUCAUGUGACAUUUGUUGAUUUGAAGUCUGGUCAGGUGACUGUCAAAGCAAAACAGAGAAAGUGAUGUGACAGAGUAGUAAAUUGUGACUUAAGCCCAAACAAUGACCAUUGUGUGUAUGAAUGUUUGCGAAUGCAUGCAUGUGUAUGUGUGUGCACACAUGUAUGUGUACAUCUGUGUGUUUGUGCAUGAUGCUUGUGUAUGUCUGUACAUGUAUAUGUGUGUGUACACACAGGUAUGUGUGCAUACGUGCAUGAUGUAUAUAUGUGUGUAUAUAUAUAUAUAUAUCUUUGCAUGCAUGUGUCUGUGUGUGUGACACUUGUACAAAUGCUCUUUGCCUGCUGUCUCAUGUAGUAGAUGGAAGUCUGACUGUCUCUCUUUGUGUUUAAGGUGAGGGUGGGAUUUGGGUCUGUGACAGACACAAUUAGUUGACCUUCUUUUCAAUCGCCAUUCUUGUCUUGUGCAAGCACAUUUAUGUGCAUGCAGUAGACUUAUUUAUGCUAAACUGCAGGGACAAAGUUAUGGUUAGGUCUUCAUCUCACUCUUGUGACAUAGUCUCCUUCUGCAGGAGCUCUCCAGAGUUGGUUCUGCUCAACACUAUGUUUGGAGGAAUCUACAGUGAGUGGGCUUCUGGGAAAAAGACAUUUUUGGGCCAUUGGUGCUGCAUGAAGUUACACUGGCAAUAGUGAAAAGCUGAGAGAAGAGAUGUGCUGAGGGGACACAACACUGUGACUGACUGAUGGUGCUGAGGGGACACCAUCCCCUGGGAUGGAGCAGAAACUUUGCAAGCAUUGGAGUUCUGAAUUUCCUGGUGGAGUAAGAUAGGAAGUAAUGGCUAACAAGGCCAUCGAUUUGCCCCAUCAAUUUCUCAAUCAUUGGCAAGUAAAGGAGUUGAGGCAGAUGUAGCAUUUUCUCCUCCUUGAAAUUAUGUUUGACUCUGUGAAAUGCUCAGUAAUUGUUUAGAUCUCAUAUGGCUACAGUGUUGACUUAUGAUUUAAUAGAAGCCAUACAUCAACAGUCUAAAUCCUAACAGAUAUAUCUGCCAUGUUUUCUUGUAUUAGCAAGAAGGGACAAUUUAAGGCAUGUGGUCAUUUUCCCUUUAAAAUGUAUUUCUGAAGGGACCGUGGAUUAUAACUGAGAGUCAGAACUCCGGGAGCAGCAGCAGUGCCUGUCAUAAAUGCUGUGCUGUCCAUGUAAUAAAAUGAUUUUCCCUGGUGGGACACACAUGGCACUAAGGAGGAAUGAGCCUGGCCUGAUAGAAUGGCUUUUAUUAAUCUCCUAAUGUUUUUAUUUUGUUUUAGAAUUAUGAGUGGCUUCAAGAGAGUAGCAAGCCAUUUGCCAUCAGGGCUAAGUGUUACUGCUAUCCAGAUAUCUUUGCUUAAUGCCUGCUGUUUAUUUCAAACACAAAAUGCUCCAUUAAGAAAAAAAUCAGCUAUAAUGGGCUGACUUUAUUAUCAAGAAAUUACACCUGUUAUGGGAACCUCACUAAUUAUAAGCACUUGGAUUUGUUUGGGUGAUAAAAGUCGAUGAAGAAGGUCAUUUGUCAGGAGGAGCACUCGGCAUGUGCGCCAGCAUCGUAAAACUGAAAUAAAGUCUGAGAAGAAAUGCUCAGAGGACUGGGAUUUGUCUGGGAAUAGACUAGACCAGGAGCCGAUGGAAUAAGGGCUUCGCUGUGGACGAGUCUCCCCUCGGCCAUUCCUGGCAGCCAAGCCGACCUUGUAUUUUCUUCUCACCUCUCUGGCUGUGUCCACGUGUAAACUGGCUGCAGAUUCUAAGACUUUGGACUAGUGGUUCUCAACCUUCCUGACACUGCUGCCCUGGAAUACAGUUUCUCAUGCUGUGGUAACCCCCCAACCAUAAAACUAUUUCAUUGGUGCUUCAUACCUGUAAUUCUGCUACUGAUGUGAAUUAUAAUGCAAAUUCUGACAUACUGGAUAUCCGAUUCAGUUGAUAACCUGCCGAGAAAGAGAAAAUCGGUUUUCUCCGAUGGAGUGUCACUGGGUCUGUCAAUUAUGCUCCAAGUUAGGACUCGUGCUCAGGAGUAGUUGGUCAACUCAAAAUGAACUGACUUCCCCCAACCCCCCUUCUUUUGAUCAAGGUCUUACUUUGUCAUUCAGGCCAGUCUGGGACUUGUAAUCCUCUCUCAGCUUCCCAAGUGCCAGGGUUAUGAGCAUUUAUCAUCUUGGGUGAUGAGUCAUCAUCUGGACCCAUCUCCCUUAACCUAGAUGUUAUAAUGUUACCCUUGACUCCUCCCUCCCUCCCCUCCUGUAUUCUCUUGUUCUCAAUCAGAAGUUUCCCUCUCACUUUCUCCUCUAUGUUUACUCCCAUUGAUGUAGUCUGGGCUGCCACCAGUUCUUUCUUUUCUGGUGACAAGGUCUCACUCUAUAGCCUAGGCUGUUUUUAGACUCAUAGUGACACUGAGGAACCCAGUUUCUUGACUGCUGGGAUUGCAGGUGUGUGACACAGAGCCUGGCUGUCAGGUCUUGUUUCACAUGUUGUAGCCUAUGCAUCCAACCCACUUGUUCAUAGCCUGCCAUCUUCAAGGCAAGGAUUUAUAUAUUUAUAUACAUCAUAGGCUGGCUUUGAACCUGCUAUGAAGCAGAAGAUGACCGUGAAUUUCAGAUUUCCCUGCUUCCACCUCCCAGGUGCUGGGAUUAUAGGCAUACCUGGCUUAUGCAGUGCUAGAAACCAAACUCAGGGCUUUGUGCAGGGCUUUAAGCACUCUACCAACUACCCUAACCCGAAGGAAAUUUUAUUUUGUUUUCUUAUAAUCUUUUGCUUUAAAAUGGUUCCUUCAAACUUUUAUUUUGAAACAUUUCAAAUCUACACAAAAGUCAGAUUAAGAGAACUGUAAACACUAUUUUACUCUGCUCCAAAGUGGGCACAGAUUCUUUUUUUAAAUGUUAGCCUUUUGGGUAACAGGUGCAGACAUGAGAGCUUCCCUGAGAAUGGACCAGGACUCUGCAAAUUCCUUAUGUGAUACUGGAUCCUGGGCUUCCCACUUCAGUGUUCUUGGUAGAGUAUCUGGUAUCUCCUUCCACUUUUAAAUUUUCUGAAAUUUGUUCCUUUUCUAUUGUUUUAGGGUUUCAAAGGAAAGAGCUAGUGGUAGAAGCCACAAAUAAACGUAAGGUGGACAUUUGCAGAAUCUCAGACUAUGUCAUGGAAACCUAAUUAUUCUGUUUGUUCACAAAGGCAACUGGGUCAUAUAUGUCCACUUAAAAGCUGUGGCCUAGCAUGCCACCAACUCUAAAUGGUGGAAACUCCUUCCUUGACCUCUGCAAGAGUUCACCUGGCAAAGCUGAGUCAGAUGCUAGACAGCAAAUUGAUAAAGCCUCUUUAACUGGGCUCUCUCCCGUGGACUUGGCAGAUGAGGCCGUGUUAUAAAUAGAAGUGAUAUUUUGUGGGGUUCUUCUAACCGAAUGCGCAUGAGGUCAAAUUCUAAUCAAGGUGAUGUAUAGAAGUAAUGAGCUGAGCCCGCAUUCCCAAGCAUUUACCCAUCUAGUGGCAAUAAGUGGGCAAAGAUGAAAUGGGGAAGGGGGGGCGUUGCAGAAACUACAGCUAAAUAGUUCCUUGUGUGGAUGGAGGACCUCAUCUCCUUGUAACGAAUGCUUGCCAGUGGUAAUUGGCUUCAUUUGUUAAUUGUAUUCAUGGUAUUAAUGAGAUCAUUAGCAUCACGGUCACAUCCUACUCUCCUGUGGCCUCAGUCUGGGGAAAUCACAACUUCCACACACCUUGCUGCUGUAGAUAUACUCACGCAUCCCAAUUACGUACAGAUUCAAACACCAUCUGUGCUGGCUUCACACAAGGGCACCCUGAAAUUCGUUCUUACCUGUUUUUAGGGGCAUUUUUUUUGAGAAUUUGGUAGAUAACUUUUAAAAGUAAUGUCUUUCAUAGUCAUGGCAAAGAUUCAGAUUUAGCUCCUUAAUCAAUAAGGAGAUCUGUUUCUCUCAAAUUCCAUACACCAGUAAGACACAGCCAUAGACUAAGAAUCUGGAAGGAGAAAGAAAAAGUAUCAAGAAGGAAAUAGAAGAGGUUGGGCUUACAAUACAUUAUCCCUAAACACAGCACCUGGUUCACAGUACAUUACCUCUAAACACCUUGGCAUUGAGAGAACCAUGAGGUGAGGAUGAUCUUUCUAACCUCUGUUGACUCUUUCCUCUGAAGGAGGAGAUACAACCCUAACAUAGAGUGGUCCCUUCUUACACCUUAGAGAAGGAACAUCCUGGUCUCUGAGAACCAGGUAUUGAGAAGAAUCUGAAUAGACAGGCCUUGCUAAACUCCAGCUAGGUUGAAACCACAAGCAUAACUCCUUAUUUCAUCAUGAUUUCUGAGCAUGGUGGUGCAUACCUUUAAUCCUAGCACUCAUGGGCAGAGGCAGGUAGAUCUCUUGGAGUCUAGGCCUGUCUGAUCAAUGUAGUGAGUUCCAGAAUAGCCAGGGUUACAUAGAGGAACCCUGUUUUCAACCAACCAACCAACCAACCAACCAACCAACCAACCAACCAACCGCAUUUUCCCAUGACUGCUCACUUCUUGUCAAACCUAAGAAUAAAAACAUGAAUUUCUUUGGGUUCUCAUUUUUAAAGGCUCCCGUGUUACAUGAAGAAGUAAAUAAGUAUACACGCUCCCCUCUUGUUAUUUAUCUUUUGUCAUAAGAACUUCAGCCAUGAACCUAGUGUUAUGUAAGAAAAAACGUUUCUAUUCCCUCCUUGUGGAAGACAGCACAUGGAAUGCAGGACUUGAAGGGACUGAUCUAGGAUUGAUCUAGAAGCUUCCUCCCAGUGGACCAGCUCUCGUAGUAUCCAAAGAUGCUAUGUGAGUUGCCAGUGGAGAAAAGUCAUCAAUAAAUCUACUCAGCUGCAAAGCUUCUGGACCACAACAGUGACAGUGCAUACCGGUGGGCACUUAUGUUGGGAGUCAUCAACAUUUGUCUAAUUGGACUUCAGGCCCCCUUAGUAGGAGGGAAUUCAUACUUCAUAUUGUAAACAUACCUAUGGUGGGCGGGGUCAUGGACCUAGAGGAGAACCUACUAGGUCAUUUUUCUAAACCAUCUUCAUGCCCACAGUAAGCGUGGCUCUUACCCCCCACCAAAGAAGCUUCUUUUUGUAGCAGAUGGAAACCAAUGGAGAGCGCCACAUGUCAAAAUGUGUAGGAGAACCAACUGUGAGGUGCUCUGACCCCAGCUGAUACAUCUACAAAGCCAGCUCUACAGCUGAGGCUUGGGGAGCAUUGUAGAGAAGGGGGAAGAGAUACUGUAAAAGUCAGAGAACCCAGGACAUCUGACACAAGACAGUAUCUUCUGUAUAUCAUAGGGAAACUGCAGCUCUGACAUCCUAAAAACACGAUCAGCGAAGCAAGAGCUGCCUAAUGACCACAACAGUUGAUAUGCCAAUGAGAUGGGGAUGUCUCUAGGUCCUACCCUUCGAACAACAGGCUUUGUGUGUGUGUGUGCGCGUGCAUGUGUGAUUAGUAAAACAAUAAUUAAAGAAAAUUCAUGAAUUUUGAGAAUGAGAGGGAAGACAUCAGGAGUUAUGGGGGAGAGGAACUCGUGGAAAUAAUGUGGGUAUGGUACACAGGUAGGAAAUCUCAAAAAAAUUGAAAUAAAAAAAUGAAUUUCCACCCUUUCUUCCUUGAACUGUAGAGAGAGACUCAGCAGGUGACAGGGAGAUCGGUUCUUGAAACAGACCUUUAAAGAUAGGGUAUCUGUGGCUUGGAUUCUGGAAGGGGACCGGAUUACGCAUAUCCUUGACCAACUCCUAUACCAGUGUUUGUGAAGGGGACUCUAGGUAUCUGCAUGCUAAUUCCUGACACUAGAAUGAUAGUAUUUGAGAGCCAGCCUUGGGAUGUCACAUGACAAAAGCUACCUUCCAGUGUCCAGUAAUGAUGUGGCACAGUGCAAGUGACCAGCCAAGGAGACCCCCCAGGCUACUGGGGAGCUAAGAGGCCAGCCAGCCACAGGCUCCUGAUGGGGAUGCCCCACCACUUCAAAGGCUAGCUAACCCUUAAGAGCCACCAGUUCAGGGAUGCUUAGUCCACUCUUGGCAGCAGGUGACACUAUAUGGCAUUAAGGACUGUUGGGUCUGAGGUCGAGGAAAUGAUGGGGAUCAUGCAGUACAAGUCUAGCAGGAGCAGGUUGUUUACAACAGAUUUCUAAAGAGAAUCCAUUAGGGGCUUGGGAGCAGGAACCAUGACCCAAAGCAAGGGUCACGCAGGCCUUUUUAAGCAAAACAACAAAAGCAAAACCAGAAGCAGAAAAGGUUGUGGGGGCAGUGGGAGCAGCUUGUCCUUUACUGGCAUUGGCUGUGUCUGUGUCAACAAGGAACCGAUUAGCCCUGGCUAGCUCUUGCGGUUUAUCUAGGAAGGGUGGGGGUGGUGUGGGUCAGGACAAGCUAAGUAAGACAGAGGGCAAAUGGAGGCGUCUAAUACAAAAUGGAGUCAUCUUGAGACGUUCAGUGACCCUUUCUUUUUUUAGGAUGGAGGAGAUGCGUAGGGCAAGAAAUACGGGAAGAGAGGUAGAGCAUCUAUAUCUUCCUCGGGUGUGUUAGUCUCUAGGCGUCUUCCAUGUUCACCAAUCUGGAGUAUCUCCAAACCAUGCCCUCCUUCUUUAGACGGAGGUUUCUUUUGAACGCGCGCAUGCUCACCUCACUGUGUCUUGGUGAUCGGCUCAGUCCUCAGCUGCCUUUCUGCUCUUGGAGGCUGGGACAGAAACCAUUUACCUUAAUCUGACAAUUAGUCUUCAUCCAGCAACUCUACAGCCUACCAAGAAAUGUCUCAUAAGAGCAUAAUCCGUGGCCUAGGAAAUCGCAAGGGAUCUUGGGGGCUCCAUGGCAGAUGCUCUUAUUUCUCGGUAAACUACAGAGAUUGUGGGAGAUUUAUAUAUGUAUAUAUAUAUAAUUUUUUUCUUAUUGAAUUGAAAUGCCACACUUUUUAAAAAAAUUUUUUUUAUUAACUUGAGUAUUUCUUAUUUACAUUUCGAGUGUUAUUCCCUUUCCCGGUUUCCAGGCCAACAUCCCCCUAACCCCUCCCCCUCUCCUGCUUUAUGGGUGUUCCCCUCCCCAUCCUCCCCCCAUUGCUGCCCGAGCCCCCAACAAUCACGUUCACUGGGGGUUCAGUCUUAGCAGGACCAGUAAGGCUUCCCCUUACACUGAAAUGCCACUCUUUUUUUAUUGUGAUUUUUUUUCCCUCUUGGCUAACUUGAACUGGUUGGAAUCUAUUUUUCCUCAUCUCUUUUCAAUUGCAUCGCUUCCACUGUAAUAAACUCCCCUGGGUAGUCAAUAUUUCAUUUUUAAUAAGGUCUUAAAUUAGGGGCCAGUGACAUGGUUUAGCAGGUAAAGGCAGUUGGCUCAAAGACCAGGUUUUGAAGCCUGUAACCCAUAUGGGAAGGAGACCUGACUUCCGAAAACUGUCUUCUAACCUCCGCAUGAGUGCCAUAGCAUAUAAGCACACUUCCGUGAACACGUGCGCUUGCACACACACACUGUCAUAACAAGUUUUAGAUUAAUGUUAUUUAUGAAAGACAAAUCAUGAAGCUUCAAAACCAUUUUAUGAAAUAAAGGUUUCUUUGCCAAAACAUUUGAAAAAAAAAUGCUGUCAAGCUGAAAGUCAUUUUUUUCCAGUUCCUAUAUUUGCAUUUAGCAGUUUAACAGUUCUUAAAUGUCAGUGGCUUCUAUUGAGAUCCAUAAAAUCUCAAAGUCAGUUGGUCCUCACUGGCUGACCCUUGAGGCUGUCGCAUAGGUGGCUGUUUGCUGUUUAGGCUUGGGACACUUUCUCCAUUCCUCUUGAUUAAACACAUAGAAGACAGUAGUCACGCAAGGCCCUGGGUUCGGUCCCCAGCUCCGAAAAAAAGAACCAAAAAAAAAAAAAAAAAAAGAAGACAGUAGUCAUCUUGCAGCGAUGCCUGAACAUCUUCAAAGCCAGUAGAGGAUCGUCUUCGAUUCUGCCUGGUUUUGAUAUCAUGUUUUAAUGCUACUGUCUCUUUAAGAGUUAAAGUAUUUUUUUGUAUGUGUGUGGAUGUUUUGCCUGCAUGUGUGCACCAUGCAUGUAUGCACCAUGGACUUGCUGCACAGGCAGAGUUGGAUUGCCUGGAAUGGAGUUGUAGACGUCAUGAGCUGUCAUGUGGGUACUGGGAAUUGAAUCUGGGUCCUUUGAAAGAGUAGUUUGUGUUCUCAACCACUGAGCCAUCUCCCUCCCAUCUCUCUUAUAAACAUCAUUUUGGGCUUAUUUGGAAAAUCAGGAUAACCUUGUCAUCUCAAGAUCUUUAAUUGCAUCUGUGGAGAUCAUUUUGCUGUGUAAGGUAACAAUUUUCAGAUUCUAAUGACUACAGAACAGCUGUCUUUGGAGCUCUCUAGCCCAUCAUGGUGGGACGUUUGGCUGAUAGGUGAGAAGAAACAUGUAAAAGCUAUGGGGGUCAAGAAGUCAUAGCCUAAAAAGAUGAAUAUCCAUGGAGUCUCAUCCCUUAGUAUUUCAUGCUAAGACCUAGAGAUCUCAGGUGGU
Molecule: non-coding RNA, 9174 nt
Organism: Rattus norvegicus (Norway rat)
Lineage: Eukaryota; Metazoa; Chordata; Mammalia; Rodentia; Muridae
Source: RefSeq, a predicted model, not a curated record